This is a long non-coding RNA of Syngnathus typhle (broad-nosed pipefish), 1158 nucleotides long. RefSeq lists it as uncharacterized. The record is from RefSeq and is a predicted model, not a curated record. NCBI's taxonomy places the organism in Eukaryota, Metazoa, Chordata, Actinopteri, Syngnathiformes, Syngnathidae. The transcript is spliced from 2 exons.
AGUGUGUCUCUGCGGAGGGGAGACAGAGGAAAGAGAAGCAACGUCAGAACGGGGCUAACCCGGACGCGCGGCUCAGACAAGGACGAUGUUGGCGGCACGUUUCACUCACUGAAGGUCCUGGUGGUCCCUGGAGACCAGGAUGUCCACGAAGACCCUUCAUUCCAUAGUCUCCCCUGUCUCCACCAACUCCCUUCUCACCACGGGGUCCAGCGGGUCCCUAGAAAACAUGCAAGUACGUGGUGUUAGACAUUAUUGCCCUUUAGUUUUUACUUUAAGAAUCCUCAUGGUAGUGUUACGUCUUGACGGUAGCUCUACUUACAGCGGCACCUCUAGCUCCAGCGAGUCCGGCAGGUCCAGAAGGUCCAGCGAAGCCCUGUAGUAUUAACAGAGUGAAUAAAUGGUUGGCACAAAACGAGUUAGGUGCCGUUUGUAAUAUGCGAGCCUAUCUGUAGAAACAUACAGAGUCUCCACGGUUUCCAGGUCUUCCAACAGAUCCACUGGGGCCAGCGGGUCCGGGGGUACCGGCAAGUCCCAAAGCACCAGCGGGACCAGGGUCACCACGGUCUCCCUAAGCACAGCAGGAGCAGGAGUAGGUAGGUGAGGACCAGAAUACUAAGUAGGAAUCAUUUUUCAUUUCUGUACGUUGUCCUUGUAGUACCUUGAUUCCAGGAGCACCAGCACGGCCAGGAGGACCAUCGUUACCAGUGUUACCCUGUAACGCAAGGUAAAGUUUCAAACCCAAGACCCUUUCUCAUCACUUCAUUACUAGUGUCUGUUUUUAUCAUUUAAGUAUACAAUGAUGAUGAUGAUGAUGCUACUGGAUCAUAGUACCUCACGUCCAGCUUCUCCCUGAGGUCCGGUCAUACCAGGCAUGCCAAUGUUGCCAGCGGGGCCACGGGCACCAGCGGGACCAGCAGGUCCAAUUCUACCAGGCUCUCCCUUGGAGGUGACAACAUCAUCAACGAUUAAUAAUGGAGACAUUUGUCAAAUGAAAUGAGUCACGUGUUGUUGCUGAUGUUCAAUGAAAGAUGGAUCGUCAGAAAACGUCCAUACUCACAACAGCACCGGGACCACCGGGAAUACCGCGAUCGCCUCUAGCGCCAGGAAGACCAACAAAUCCUUGAAGACCAAGAGGUCCAGAAGUUCCAGGAGUACCAG